UGGAUCCAGACUUUGAUCAUGGCUCAGGAUGAACGCUAGCUACAGGCUUAACACAUGCAAGUCGAGGGGCAGCGAUGAAGAAAGCUUGCUUUCUUCAGGCGGCGACCGGCGCACGGGUGAGUAACGCGUAUCGAACCUGCCUCAUACUCAGGAAUAGCCUUGCGAAAGUAAGAUUAAUGCCCGAUGUUAUUAGGAUAUCACAUGAUGUUCUAAUUAAAGAUUUAUCGGUAUGAGAUGGCGAUGCGUCCCAUUAGCUUGUUGGCGGGGUAACGGCCCACCAAGGCAUCGAUGGGUAGGGGUUCUGAGAGGAAGGUCCCCCACAUUGGAACUGAGACACGGUCCAAACUCCUACGGGAGGCAGCAGUGAGGAAUAUUGGUCAAUGGACGCAAGUCUGAACCAGCCAAGUAGCGUGCAGGAAGACGGCCCUCUGGGUUGUAAACUGCUUUUAGUUGGGAAUAAAGUGCACCACGAGUGGUGUUUUGUAUGUACCAUCAGAAAAAGGACCGGCUAAUUCCGUGCCAGCAGCCGCGGUAAUACGGAAGGUCCAGGCGUUAUCCGGAUUUAUUGGGUUUAAAGGGAGCGCAGGCGGACCUUUAAGUCAGCUGUGAAAUACGGCGGCUCAACCGUCGAACUGCAGUUGAUACUGGAGGUCUUGAGUGCACACAGGGAUACUGGAAUUCAUGGUGUAGCGGUGAAAUGCUCAGAUAUCAUGAAGAACUCCGAUCGCGAAGGCAGGUAUCCGGGGUGCAACUGACGCUGAGGCUCGAAAGUGCGGGUAUCAAACAGGAUUAGAUACCCUGGUAGUCCGCACAGUAAACGAUGAAUACUCGCGAUUUGCGAUACACAGUAAGUCGCCAAGCGAAAGCGUUAAGUAUUCCACCUGGGGA
RNAcentral lists this ribosomal RNA (888 nucleotides) under uncultured organism. RNAcentral's name for it is "bacterial SSU rRNA". It matches the Rfam family "Bacterial small subunit ribosomal RNA", at positions 1 to 879 of the family's 1533-position model. The record is from RNAcentral.